This 24-nucleotide transfer RNA is filed under the name Rhampholeon spectrum. RNAcentral's name for it is "partial tRNA-Leu". Lineage: Eukaryota; Metazoa; Chordata; Lepidosauria; Squamata; Chamaeleonidae. The record is from RNAcentral.
ACUUUUAAAGGANGACAGAUAUCC